CUGGUCAGUGUAUGUGGAAACACACACACUGCCUAUGACAGCAGAAAUGAAAAACACCCUCUUGUAGCCCUCCUCCCUGCACAGUCACACGUGAGCACCCAUAAUGAUCCUCCACAGAGCAGCACAACCCUGGGUGAACCUCCCUGGCUCCGACUCACCCGCUCUUUCAUACGAGACACUAUGAAUCGCAGGUGGCAGUUGAGGAGACACAAUAGAGCAGCCGUGUGGUGCUUUSCUUUGGGGUUAACCUGCAACAUGGGCAAUUCCUGUCACACCACUGCUUUAGAGAAACCUGCAAACCUUCUGCUUUGAAUCAAGGAAAUCGGAUUAGUUUAAGCGUGCCCAGCGCUGGGGGUCGGGCAGGUCGGGCGGCUCCGGCAGCCGCAGUUCCCGCAGGCACCGCCAGGUGUCGCCGGGCGCUCCCGAAAGCGGCGGCCCAAGGGGACAGCGCCCGCAGGGAGCGGCGACAUCCGAGCGGCCACUGCCGGACACCGGGAUGCGGAACCAGCUCGGGACAUAUCGGGAGUGGUAUGGAUGAUGGUGGUGGCUAAGAGAGUCAACUAAGCUAUCCUAAUGGAAGACAGAAACGUAAUAGAAAAUAUGACAGAAUUCAAAACCACAUAGUGCAAAAAUUGUUCACCUUGUUUUUUGCUGCUGUCUGGGAAAAAGGCUGCAUACCGUAGGCCUUUCAAAAUAAAAACAAAACAAACUUUGUAUCUAUACUGUAAGCCAUCUGRUUAUCAGGAUAUACACAAGGCUAGAAAGAAUUCAUGCACAGUGACCGGAAAAUCAAUCUGUUAGUUCUAACUUCUGGUUGCAUACAUUUCCUCCUGCAUUCCUGGAAUGCUACCUAACGUUUUCAUCACAUUUCACUUCUUUAAAAUAUCCCAUGUACUUAUAUGAUUAAAAGAACCCAACACCCAUCAUUUUUAUCCAUAUACACACCCACCRCCAGGCCAAUUAAAAACUCCUCAAGAAUAUUAAUGAUUGUUAAWUAAUGCACUCUCUUUGAUACAUAAACCUUCUCUGGGCAUCUAAAAAAGAUCCUUCUAAGGUAAUUUACUGCCKAGGGAAUGGCCCCACCAAAAUCAACCCAACACCUUUGCUGCAUACUAUCAAGGGUUAGGCUGUCACUUUACCAAUGAGACUCACAGUUGUAAUUUGUGUAUAAAAGGUGACACAUUUUCCCAGGGCCAGGCAGACCAAAGGAAGGAUCUCCGCCACAGGGACCCCGUUCCUGAGGCAGGGCAGGGAAAGCCUCCGGGUCACUGUGCUGGCACACAAAGGGAAUCCUCUCGAAGGGAAUCCUCCGGCCGCUGCCCAAGGUCAGCGGUUCAGCAGCACCAGUGACUGACCACAGCCCCCGACAGGGAGAGGAUUUGGCAGCAAAGCCGCGUAACUCACACCCAACAGGAGGCUUUCCCCUCUCGUUCUGCCCAGCUGCCCGCUGCAUUURUAGCUCUAUGCWUCAGCAGGGCAGCAAAUGCRCUUGGGGGACUGUGUGAAAUAGCCAAGAGCUAUGCUCUGUUARGCAGAGUGGGAUCCUGCAAUCAUAYGGGUCACAUGUGGUCACUCGUUCUUUAUAUUCAAAUCYGUCAAACAUUAUAUCAUAAAGGUCACUUUGCACUGACAUAAAUAGCUGAGAUUUCUCAGCAACAUGAGUGAAGCACUGCAAAAAUUUCAAAAAUACAUUUAAUUUAUGACUGGCACGUAAGCUUACUUUUCUUUGUCAUUUGUCUUAAGUAGGCUGUCUUAAAGCAAAUACAUACAUUUAUUCUGGAAGUAUAGAAAAGUAACAUGGGACAGAAAAUGUCAGGCUAUCCAGAACAUUUGACAGUUUAAAUACAGAUAAACCCAACAGAAAGGAAUGAAUCAUCAUGYCGUAGCCUUUACUGUAAAAUAAAAUACAUAGUUGUUGUCAAGGAAAGAAUAAUUUUAGUGCACAAAGAAAAUGUCCAUUAUAAUGCAAAUGUACAUGGAAAAGAAAUGCUUACUCAUUAGUAAUGGAGAUUUACUUAGCUGUAAUUGAAAUAGGGAAUCUGUAUGUUGGAGAAUGUGACAUCCUGCUGUACAAUUAGCAUACCAUUAAGUAGGAGAUGUGAAGCACAUACUGACAGUAAAAUUAACAAUAACUUAGAGGUCACAAUGGUAACUAUUAGGUCACUUCCAUAGCACAGCAAGCCCAUAAUUAUUGUAAAAAAAAAGAAAAGAUGUUAAAACAAGUAAUAAAUUUUCAUUUUCAUAUAAAUUAUAUGUAGCCAUAGCACACGAAAACAGUAUAACCUCCUUUCUUAGACUUUGUCUAAAAGGACCACUUUUCCUUUUUAUAAUGCACAUUCCAUUAACAUAGCUCAUUUCUUACCUGUUAAUCUGUUUUCUCCAAGUCCCUUAAUGGUAGCCCAGAUACUCGGUAUUAAGUCACUCUACUAUCAGGUGGAGAGAGGAAAAGGGAGGGGGAAAAAAGCAAAACUCUAUUCAUGAAACUCCCCUUUAUGGGGAUUUGCUCGUUUCACACUGUUGAACUAGAUUUCCCAAACAAGCAAAAUUAUGGAUCUCCUUUGGACCCAACCAGUAAGCUACAAAAAAAAAAGGGUCACAGAUGGGAUAAACAGUUAUAAGCCAGUUACCUCUUUGGUGCAAUCUUGUUUAUUUACAAUUAACAUACAUACAGUCCUGUUGUCCUAAAUUCAAUUUGAUGCAAAUGAAGAAAACAACUUCUCAUGGASUUCAUGGUUCCCAGCAUUUCCUGUGUGGCACUUGUCCCAUAGCAYUCUUUACACUUUCUUUUCCCCCAGAUGUUCUGUUUUAAUUAUUUCUCCAGAGUUUUACGUGUGUGCUGCCGUGGUGUUCCUCUCACCCCUACACUCAGGCACACACAGCUCCUGCCAGAUCACCGGAUUUUCAUUCAGACCCACCUGAGCACAAACUCAUUGUCAGCCCUSCUUCGUGUCUGUGUUUUAACAGUCCCUAGAGCUCCAGCUCCAGUGGAUAACAAACUCAGAGCAGUUCUGCACUAGUCCAAAGGAUCAGUAUGAGCAGAUACACAGUAGAUUUCACCCACUGCSUAUCGUAACACUUUUGGUCUGUCACAGUGGUGGAAUGGCAGAGAGGUCCAUGCCAGCAGAAAGAAGACAUUUACAAMAUUUAAAUUAUUUUAAAACAGUAGUAUUUGCAUGCUAAAUUUAUUCAAGACAUUUUCAAAUCACCAGCCCAAAACUUCAGUGUAAUCUUUCCAUGACUAUUUCAAAACAUUUUAAAGAAUAUCAGUAAAUGAGUUCCUACUAUUUCUCAGAUUCCCAUUUCUUUAACAUGUAAUGAGAUAGGCCAUGCCCAAUUUAAAGAUAUAAUUUCUGAAGCAAAUGUUCUGGAUUCUUGUAUUUUAGGAUUUGGGAACAGCCAUAAGGAACCUUCUGUCUCUUCUCACCUCUACCAGCUUUAACAUCAGAGCUCUUUACAUUUUCACCCCUUCAACUAAGAGAGAAGCUUUUAAAAUCUUGGGUUCUGUUGUUAAGAUUUCUUUGCUGGCCUUCAGUAACUCCUCACUGGAAYUCAACAAAGUUGACUACCAGUCCAUAUCAAGUACAAGGAUAUACUGAAAUAAAUGCCUCUCACAAGAAUUAUGCUUUUUUUCCCCCACGUCUUUGAUUUUGCUCAGGUUCUGCAACAUGCAUCCAUCAUCAUCUGCUGCUGGGAAGUAACUCSUAUCUUCUCUACUUAAUCCUUCAUAUUUCAAACUUUCUGCUGUAAAUUAAAAGCUUUUAUUAUAAUAAAAAGUGGUGGUACUGCAUUCCAGCAUGCAUGCAUCUACCAUUUCAUUACUCUUCUCUGGUAUCUGGGUCCUCUCCUGAAGAGGAUUCAGAGAAUGCUGCAGGAACCUAUGCCCCCACUCACAUUAAACAAAGCAGCAUCUAUUUCUGUCUGAACACAUUUUCCAUUCUUAAUAAAUCAGUUCCUUUCUGUCUUUUUCAGGCAGCAUCUGCUCCAUCAAAGCUUUCUCAAUUAGACAUGAGCUUUACUAAAGGUAAUUGCUAAAACCUUGCAGUACAUUUUGCACUCUUUAUGACUCACGAAUACCAGGAAGCAYGGUGGGGGUGCACUACCUAUGAGACUUCUGUCCUCCAGUACAAAACCUGAAGAAAUGUUUCUGACUUGUACAUUUGCUGCAAACAGCUACUGCCCACUUCAUUUGUCCAUUUUGUACUUGUCUCCAGGUGUAAAUACUGGAAUCUGUGCCCCGCACAAAGGCAGCCUGAAGCAGCUCGGACAGGAGCMGUUGUUAACAGCCCUUAUGAGCUGGGAAACGCUAAACCAGCAUUCAGCUCAGCUUUGAAAUGCCUCCCUUUGCCUAUCUAGCCACUGCUUUUGCAAUUCUGUUCAACUUCUGAGUAACUGCUCCGUAGUUAAGAGGGGUUUUACAAAGAGUGGCUGAUUAUCUGUAGAGCUGCACAGAUUGGAGCCUUGCUCUUUUUUUUUUUUUUUCUGAGAGUGCAUGUUGUACGUGCAGCCUGGGCUCUCUUUUGCCCAGGCUGUGUCUCGGUGGGUUCAGCAGCCAGUGAGAACUCUCCAGCUUAUCAGGGGUCUCUGGCAGAUGUACAGAGAUGUUCACUCUGACACCAGCAGGCCCCAAAUACUACGUGUGCUGAACAAACAUCGUGUGUCACAGAACACCAUUCCCAGUAUUUUUUCAAAUGCAGGGGGGAUACUGUGUAGGUUUUUGACCAGAGGGCUCAGCCUGCUUUAAGGACAGUCUUCCCAUUGCCCUUUGGGUCAGCCUUCUCUUCAUGCCAUGUCCCUGGCUCCAUCUAUUCCUUAGCAAACGUGAAACCUCCUGUAAACUUGCUUUCCAUUGCCUACUGAAUCUGCUUUUAUCUUUGCAUCAGAACAAUGAUGAAAAGGUUAGGCUUCAAACUGAGGAAGGUGUGAUUAAUUCCUUGAUGGCUCAGAAGACUUACUCCAUCUUUGCAGCAGGUAAAUGGUGAUUUAGCUGUUUCAUAAAGUAUUUCCUUUCAUCAUUGCUGUAAAGGAUCCAUAUUUGAUCAGGACGAUUGCUUUUCAAUGAUAAAAGUUUCUUAGAUCAUCACAUGUUUUACAUUUAAUGCUAGAGCAAUGCUUUAGGGUAAAUUCAGCAUCAAAAUAAGCUUAUUUUCUCCCCUGCAGUUUUCCUGUAUCCAUGUGUUUACUAGAUAUAUUUCUUCAUGUUUUGCAUCUACAUUUUUCCUACUGCUUUUGCUCAUCAAAAGUGCUCAGCAAAUAAACAAGCAUCCACCUCUUUUUCAAAGUCAGGAAGACUUCAGCAGCUAAAAUCCCUUUGUGAAAAUUGUUUCACUUUAUCUUCUUCUUCUUCUAGAAAACUACCACAGUAGGUAGCUAAAAUGUGUGCUUUUACGGGCAGGAUAAUCUAUCCAUUCAGAUCAGUUGCCUUUAUAGAUUCUUUCCUUCGUUGACCUGGGCUUUAUCUUUAAAAUGUAUUUCCAUAAACUGACUCUGUAGGACACUUUGUARGUAUUCAUUAUUCAUAUUUUGUCACAAAGAAAUCCAAAGUAAUUAUGAAUUCAUAUGUUCUCACAACUACUCAGGCAUCUUGCUUUAUUUCAAGUAUAUUUAUUUAUUUAUUUAUUUGUUAAUUAUGAACCAAGUUUCAUCAUCUCAGCAAUUAAUUAGAAUUUCUUGUUUUAUGUGAUUUUUAAAUCUCUUGGUUCAGAAACCCUUUAUAUUCUAAAAAGAACCAACACAAAACCAUCAGUCAGGGGACAGACCAAAAUCUCCUUCUCCUUAGUGCAUAUUAAACCAGAUGUGUUUGUGUAGUUGUCAAAAUCCAUUUCCAUUGUCUUCACUGGUGACUGCUUUCUCUUCUGAUGCACCGGUGCAGGAAGAUUCAGGUUCUGCAGAGAAUUCCACAUUCUCUCAGAACACUUUUGGCUUUCUUUCACUGAACUGAAUCUGCAAGCCUAAAUUUGUCUAAUUAAUUUAUUGCCAGUUUGUCUUAGGAGUCUUCAGUUUCUGACAGAAACCACCCAAGUCUUCWCUGGAUUCCUGCCAAGACAGUGUUUCUUUAGACUGAUGAUUCAGCACACACAAACAUUUUAUCUGAACCAACAGCAAAACCUCCUACAGUUUCCUUAAAUCCCUUGUCCAUGCAUCCUGUGCUGUAGGUGUGGCUGGUAUUGUUUCAGCUGUCAGUGCUAGAAAAGCAGGAGGACUGCAUUUAUUUGAAUGAAGCAUGAAUAUUAAUAAGCCCAUCAGCUUCAAUGAAGUUUCAUUCAAUGACCAGCAUGACAUAAUAAUAAAAGAUUCAAAUCAGUUGCCAGAGAUACACAGCAUUUUGAACCCACAACGUUAAUAGAAACACUACUAGGUCAGGGUGGGCACAAAAGAGGUGGAAGAAAACCAAGAUGCAUGUUUGCAGAACAAACUCAAGAUAGACUGAUCUAUGUAUUUAUUCUACUAGCAUAAUUUGAGUCCCRUGAUAGACCCCCUAUACAGACUAGUUUGACUAGUUUACUUCAAGCCCAUAGGUAUAUUCUCAUUCUUCAAAACACCCUUUCAAUCAGGAAAGAACAUUUUGUGAAAUCUCUGAACACCAUUAUCAGUAGCUCAACUCCAGAACUGUGAGCGAAAGCCUCAUACAAGAAUACAGCAUUACAUCAACUGAAUUUUUAAAAGUCAAGUUGGCAAAGCUGAGAGAGUCAAGYGAAGAUGCUGACAAGGUUGUUUUACCAGUUUAAGAGAAGCAGCAUCUCUCURCAGUCAGAUGGAGUCUACUAGUGUCACCUUCAGUAAUGUGAAGAUCCUGCAAACAGUGUGAACUCCCCUUCCAGAGAACAAAAAGGAUGAGCAGAGGAGAGAAAGAAAUACUCCUGAACAGAUGGGAAGAGAAAAACAAGUUUGGAAAAGGAAUGCAGAGAAUUGCUCACUAUUCUUAACCCAUCUGGAGGCAGGAAGAACCACUGGAAUGGAUCUGAGGCCUUUCUCAUGAGCUGCACAUUAACAGCCUCAAUGCAAACACAUAAAAWUUCUGCUUUAAUGCAGAAAGAAUUUCUCAUCCAUGAGUUGGGAAUUCAGAAUUCUAAUUUUCUUCUCUAGUCUAGGCUUUGAUUUGAUGAUUUGAAAAUAUUUGCUUUUCUGAAGUUUCACAAAUCCACUAAUAUUUGGUUCAUUAAUAAGCAGAAUCACAAUUGCACUUUGUGAUAAUAAUAUGCAAGAAAAAUCAUGGCAUUUAGUGUAGUGAUUUUGAUUUCAUGGCAUUCCUUUGGAAAAUUAAGCUCUGAAUGACGAAACCUUAAAGGAUAGAAAGACAGACAGAAAAGAAAGAUUCCUAGAGUUUCAGAAUUUCAUCUUCCUUGAGUGUUCUUGUAUGACCAAGCUGUUAUCUGGYCUGACCUCAAAGCCUCCUCAUAUUCUCCCUGGGGUGUGGAAUAAGGGAUGGGAGCCAGUYUGAACUUUUUCUCUCAUGGAAUCAAUCAUUAACUCUUUGCAUCAGUGAAUCACCAACUGUAAAGAACACUGGUACUUUCACAAUAAUUAGGAAUCUAUCUGGAACAUUCCAGCCUGGAAAKGUCUCAAUUUGUUCAGUAUGGGAAAAAUAUUAACUAAUAUGGCUUGGUCUGUGUUUAGCUUUAGAUCAGUGAAUUCACACAGGACUUCAGAUUAAAGGCAAUACGGAUGGAUAAGGCAAAUGGAGAAUUUUUUAAACACUGAAUAAGAUUUUUCUUCAUUUAGUGUGACAUGUUCUUCCUCUUUGUGCUCUCCAGUUGUAAGAGCUUUCAUGAUGAAGGCAGUGGCUGUCACUAUUGCUGUUUCAUAUUAUCCUUCUGCUCCUAACUGAAAUGAAUGGGAUGCACAUUAAAACCAUUCCUCAGCCUAGUUAUUUAGAAUCCCCUAACUUGCUAGAAGGAACUGGUAGCUAUUCAGGCUGGUUUUGGAUUGAAGUUUGAUUUUGUCUGCUGGUUUGCUGUUUGGGUUUUUUUUAAACUAUUUAAAAUGCAUUUUAUUUACAGAAAAGAUUCAAACCCUCACUGUGGCAGUUCUUAAGCUUUUUACAAUUAUCUUUAUAUUAAUGGAGACUCAAGAUGACACAGCCAGUUCAAAAAACAGCUUCUGGCUACCAAUACUGACCUAGCAUGGAAAAAUCAAUAUAAUUACAAAAGCAAUUAAGCAUGGCAAGCAAGGAAUCAAGCCUUUGCUCAAUCUAAAGUAAUUUAGAUUAACACAAACAUAACAGCCAAAAAAACUGYUUUUUGAUAGACUGAUCCUAGUAAAACUGAACGUGCAACACAUCAAGUGUUGACAGUGGGGUACAACAAAUGUUAAAAUGAUGGGAAUACAGAGUGAAGAGAUGGAUUAUUCAGGCAGCCUUGUGACUUGAAAGUAUCUGGAGUCACUUUGAGCAAGCACCAGUACUUUUUAAUAUAAAAUGCAAGGAAAAAAACCAGUAAUGAAUUAGCACAUUAAGAAUGUAUGUGUGGGAAAAAAAGCACAUUCUGUUUCUAAUGUUUUCUGAAAACAGGAAAAAGCAAGGAGACUUCUACUCCAAACAGUGUGCUUUCCACUAAGCUAACACAUYUCUAGAGUGAAGAGUUGAAAUGGCAAUAAUUUAGAUACAGAGAGGACCAAAUGCACAAGAAAAUGACUGUARCUGACCCCCAAGUUAGGCUUAACUAGGCAGAAGAAUUGCUGGCUCUUUCUAUAAGCAAUCAAUUAAAUGAYCAGAAAACAGAACUCUGUAAACAAAUAAUUUCUUGAAAAUAUAAUCACCUUGUAUGCAUUUUUUAGUGAAGAAAUAGCUCACAGUGCCUUAACUAAGUGUGAAGCCUCACUGUUCACAUCUCAUUAGAGAAUUCAGCCACUAUGAACCACCUUUAAACCACAGAAGUGCUGUGGGAUAUGUUGCAAUCAGAUGCAAACAAUGUGUUAUGAACACAUCUCCCUUUUAUAAGAGCAAAAUAUUAUUUGGCUUUAUGAACACAGGAAAAUUUAAAUUAUACAUUCAUAAAGCUUGUCUCUGGGUCAGAGCAGUUUUAUGACUUUAAUCAUGAGGAGAAGAAUUAGCACAUUAAGUGUUCAAAAUAGGUCAGUSCCCACUGUCUGUAGAAAAAUGUAAAUGAGUAAGACAAACCAAGUCUAAAAACUGUAUCUAACCCCCCGCCCCCCCCCAAAAAAAAACCUACAGGACAUUGGUAGUUAAAUUCAAUUUCUUAUCUUGGGGUUAGACUGAAUACUGUUUUACAAAUAAAAGUACAUAAAAAUCAUGGCAUAACAGAAAAUAAUAAUGAAUAGGUAAGAAGAUUCAUUAUUAUUUUCUUGAAGAACUACAUUUCCUUUCUGUUUUAUCARCUGUGUUGAAAACAUAGUCAACAARACUGAUUUUCAAUUUUUUUCKAAACCCAAAGAGCAAGGAGUUUUUUUAUGCUGAUAAUGAAUAGCAUGUCCAAAUUCCACAUGUUCUGUGAGAAAUAGAAAUAAAGUACUUAGAAAGGAAAAAGUAAACUUCCAUUACUAAACUUCAGAUCUGACAUUUCCCUUGCAAGGCAAGAAGCUGCAGAGAUUUUGUUCAAUUGUAUAAUAAUGGCAUCAACAAACAGAAAAAUGCAAAAUUCCCGAUUAAAAUCCUGAAUAAAAAUGGAAAAUAAAUUCUUCUCUCAUUUAUUWUGUGUCAAAUGCAUUAAUCAUCUGCAAGAUAAGAAAGCCUGUAAGAUGAGAACACAUUUUGAAAAUGUGCAAAACAUCUGGCAAAUGAGAAAACAAAAUGAAUACCUGCACAAGCCCUGGAGGUAUAAUAUUUGCAGCAAAGUUCUUGUAUAGGUACCAACCCUUAAAUGUCAGUUGGAAUACAGUACAUUUUGCUACCAACUCCACUUUUUAAAUUUAGUAACUUACAUAAAAAUAUUUCUCCCACAUGUAUCUGGCAGAAAAAGAGAAUAAUUUUAUACUCUUAAAUCUGAUCAUUCUUUUUUUCCCAGUUUUGCUGAACAUGAAUUUUUAUGAGCUGUCCCUUUUGGAAGAGUCUCUUGAUGCCCCUCAAACUGUUGUUUUUGUACCUCAGCUUGUUCUUUUGCAUGAUAUUACUAAAUACAUGAGAUUUUGCUUAAUAUUUUUUACCACAGCUUCAACAUGCUGCAAGAACAAUGAGAGCAAAGUAGUAUAAUUUUUUAACACAUUUUUUCUAAAGGCUAAGAGUAACCCUAUCAGAGAUCUUGUCCUUACUGCAUAGAUCUAUCAGUAUGUCAACCUAUGAAUAGGGCAAAURUUUGGAAUUACCUAAGCAAGCACCACAGAUUAUCAAAUGAAUCUUUUCCAAACACAGCUAUGUUUUCAUAAUCUCUAUACUUUCAAUUAUUGUCACUAUUUAGUCAUCAGUCUGUAGUCACCAUCACAACCAGUACUUUCAGGUCCUGUGGCAUCCUGUAGUCAGGGCACAUCUUACAGUAACAGGCAAAGGUGCUCACCAGUUUUGUGGCCAAGGCCAGUAAUUUAUUUACCAGCUAAAAUUYAGAUCCAAAACUUCUAAAGUGUAAAAAACCACCAAAUACUCAAAUAAAAAAUGGGGGGAGGGAUGAUAAGAAUGUGUCCCUUUACUAUCCCCUUGGAGCAGCCUGUGUUUAGUGACUUCCACUGUGGUGCCAGGAAAGAAGCUAAAGUCCAAAAGCUGUCCUGUUCAGGUGUCAGUGGGUGGGGAAUMAUUUCUUAAGUCUUCUCUUUCCCAUUAUGAGCUUUCCAAGUUCCAGUAGUACCAGUUAAACCAAAUUUGACAAUUARGUCAAGGGUCUGUCUGCAAGUGCUGAAGUUUGGUGAGCCUGAAAUCCCUAUUUUAGCAUUAAUAACCCUGCUUGGUGGAGUUCKAUCUCCUUGAAGUGAACCUCCAAAAAGAAUUCUGUGUGUUUGCCCUCACUGAAAUGUAACUUGAGCUCAUGGUUCAACAGUCAUUAGUACCAGAUUGGAGCAGUGCUGAAUUACAAAGAACUACAAACUGCCUCUUGAUCAAGUGCAGACAAAGCAUCUGUAACACUGUCCAGUGUCCAGAGAAGAGAACAAACUAAACUUCAUGGGCUUGGACCAAUUGUCAGAGAAUGGAAAAUACUCRAUCUGAUGUAGAGUGAUGACAAUGACACUUUGUUACUCAUUAAAACUUUUUUGAAUGAAAGAACAAAGAGAAUGACUUUAUACCAAGUCAAUGUGUUUUGYUUCAUCUGUCUACAGGAUUUUGAUUCAGUAUUAGGAUCAAAAAGUUGGGGUUUGGAUACUAUUGAAACGUGGCUUGGAUCAGAAGCUGAUUCUUAUUUUUGCAUAAAACUGCUAAGUUAAGCGUGGUGUUCUGAACUACUGAGAUGGCCACCACACACAUGAUCACAUCCCAGAAUAACAGUGCUUAGCAGCCUUGUUGAAAAUACAGUCAAUGCUCCUAACU
Long non-coding RNA from Malurus melanocephalus (red-backed fairy wren), 11404 nucleotides. RefSeq lists it as uncharacterized. Lineage: Eukaryota; Metazoa; Chordata; Aves; Passeriformes; Maluridae. The record is from RefSeq and is a predicted model, not a curated record. The transcript has 4 exons.